RNAcentral lists this non-coding RNA (104 nucleotides) under Brachybacterium phenoliresistens. RNAcentral describes it as "TPP sequence". It matches the Rfam family "TPP riboswitch aptamer (THI element)". From Rfam's summary of the family: Vitamin B(1) in its active form thiamin pyrophosphate (TPP) is an essential coenzyme that is synthesised by coupling of pyrimidine and thiazole moieties in bacteria. Lineage: Bacteria; Bacillati; Actinomycetota; Actinomycetes; Micrococcales; Dermabacteraceae. The record is from Rfam by way of RNAcentral.
CAUCCACGACAGGGGAGCACCGCACGGUGCUGAGAGUGCGCACGGCGCAGACCCUCGAACCUGAUCCGGCUCGCACCGGCGGAGGGAGUCGGGACUUCUCGGCG